RNAcentral lists this ribosomal RNA (253 nucleotides) under uncultured bacterium. RNAcentral's name for it is "partial 16S ribosomal RNA". It matches the Rfam family "Bacterial small subunit ribosomal RNA", at positions 524 to 776 of the family's 1533-position model. The record is from RNAcentral.
UACGUAGGGUGCAAGCGUUAAUCGGAAUUACUGGGCGUAAAGCGUGCGCAGGCGGUUUUGUAAGUCUGAUGUGAAAGCCCCGGGCUCAACCUGGGAACUGCAUUGGAAACUAACGGGCUCGAGUGUGGCAGAGGGGGGUGGAAUUCCACGUGUAGCAGUGAAAUGCGUAGAGAUGUGGAGGAACACCGAUGGCGAAGGCAGCCCCCUGGGCUAACACUGACGCUCAGGCACGAAAGCGUGGGGAGCAAACAGG